This 497-nucleotide ribosomal RNA is filed under the name uncultured bacterium. RNAcentral describes it as "partial 16S ribosomal RNA". It matches the Rfam family "Bacterial small subunit ribosomal RNA", at positions 28 to 507 of the family's 1533-position model. The record is from RNAcentral.
GAUGAACGCUGGCGGCGUGCCUAAUACAUGCAAGUCGAGCGAACAGACGAGGAGCUUGCUCCUCUGACGUUAGCGGCGGACGGGUGAGUAACACGUGGAUAACCUACCUAUAAGACUGGGAUAACUUCGGGAAACCGGAGCUAAUACCGGAUAAUAUAUUGAACCGCAUGGUUCAAUAGUGAAAGACGGUUUUGCUGUCACUUAUAGAUGGAUCCGCGCCGCAUUAGCUAGUUGGUAAGGUAACGGCUUACCAAGGCAACGAUGCGUAGCCGACCUGAGAGGGUGAUCCGCCACACUGGAACUGAGAAACGGUCCAGACUCCUACGGGAGGCAGGAGUAGGGAAUCUUCCGGAAUGGGCGAAAGCCUGACGGUGGAACGCCGCGUGAGUGAUGAAGGUCUUCGGAUCGUAAAACUCUGUUAUUAGGGAAGAACAAAUGUGUAAGUAACUAUGCACGUCUUGACGGUACCUAAUCAGAAAGCCACGGCUAACUACGUG